ACUCCUACGGGAGGCAGCAGUGGGGAAUAUUGCACAAUGGGCGCAAGCCUGAUGCAGCCAUGCCGCGUGUGUGAAGAAGGCCUCGGUUGUAAAGCACUUUCAGUUGUGAGGAAGGUGGUGUCGUUAAUAGCGGCAUCAUUUGACGUUAGCAACAGAAGAAGCACCGGCUAACUCCGUGCCAGCAGCCGCGGUAAUACGGAGGGUGCGAGCGUUAAUCGGAAUUACUGGGCGUAAAGCGCAUGCAGGUGGUUUGUUAAGUCAGAUGUGAAAGCCCGGGGCUCAACCUCGGAACUGCAUUUGAAACUGGCAGACUAGAGUACUGUAGAGGGGGUAGAAUUUCAGGUGUAGCGGUGAAAUGCGUAGAGAUCUGAAGGAAUACCGGUGGCGAAGGCGGCCCCCUGGACAGAUACUGACACUCAGAUGCGAAAGCGUGGGGAGCAAACAGGAUUAGAUACCCUUGUAGCACAGAG
This 470-nucleotide ribosomal RNA is filed under the name uncultured bacterium. RNAcentral's name for it is "bacterial SSU rRNA". It matches the Rfam family "Bacterial small subunit ribosomal RNA", at positions 335 to 799 of the family's 1533-position model. The record is from RNAcentral.